CCAGAGAACUUAGCAGAGAUGCUUUGGUGCCUUCGGGAACUCUGAGACAGGUGCUGCAUGGCUGCGUCAGCUCGUGUUGUGAAAUGUUGGGUUAAGUCCCGCAACGAGCGCAACCCUUAUCCUUUGUUGCCAGCGGCUCGGCCGGGAACUCAAAGGAGACUGCCGGUGAUAAACCGGAGGAAGGUGGGGAUGACGUCAAGUCAUCAUGGCCCUUACGGCCAGGGCUACACACGUGCUACAAUGGCGCAUACAAAGAGAAGCGACCUCGCGAGAGCAAGCGGACCUCACAAAGUGCGUCGUAGUCCGGAUUGGAGUCUGCAACUCGACUCCAUGAAGUCGGAAUCGCUAGUAAUCGUAGAUCAGAAUGCUACGGUGAAUACGUUCCCGGGCCUUGUACACACCGCCCGUCACACCAUGGGAGUGGGUUGCAAAAGAAGUAGGUAGCUUAACCUUCGGGAGGGCGCUUACCACUUUGUGAUUCAUGACUGGGGUGAAGUCGUAACAAGGUAAGCGUAGCGAG
This 520-nucleotide ribosomal RNA is filed under the name uncultured bacterium. RNAcentral's name for it is "bacterial SSU rRNA". It matches the Rfam family "Bacterial small subunit ribosomal RNA", at positions 988 to 1509 of the family's 1533-position model. The record is from RNAcentral.